UCACACAAUUGGUGUUGAAUUUGGUAC
Molecule: non-coding RNA, 27 nt
Filed under: Mus musculus (house mouse)
Lineage: Eukaryota; Metazoa; Chordata; Mammalia; Rodentia; Muridae
Source: RNAcentral